RNAcentral lists this ribosomal RNA (428 nucleotides) under uncultured bacterium. Its description in RNAcentral is "bacterial SSU rRNA". It matches the Rfam family "Bacterial small subunit ribosomal RNA", at positions 355 to 775 of the family's 1533-position model. The record is from RNAcentral.
UGGGGAAUAUUGCACAAUGGGCGCAAGCCUGAUGCAGCGACGCCGCGUGGAGGAUGAAGGUUUUCGGAUUGUAAACUCCUGUUGAGUGGGAAGAAAUGGCAUUCACUAAUACUGAAUGUAGAUGACGGUACCACUAGAGAAAGCACCGGCAAACUUCGUGCCAGCAGCCGCGGUAAUACGAAGGGUGCAAGCGUUAUUCGGAGUUACUGGGCGUAAAGAGCGCGUAGGCGGCUUCUUAAGUCAUUUGUUAAAUUUCUCGGCUUAACCGGGAAUCAGCAGGUGAAACUGGGAGGCUAGAGUGUAAGAGAGAGAAGUAGAAUUCUCGGAGUAGCGGUAAAAUGCGUAGAUCUCGAGAGGAAUACCGGAAGCGAAGGCGGCUUCUUGGCUUACAACUGACGCUCAAGUGCGAAAGCGUGGGGAGCAAACAG